This 51-nucleotide non-coding RNA is filed under the name Plasmodium falciparum 3D7. The record is from RNAcentral. Lineage: Eukaryota; Apicomplexa; Aconoidasida; Haemosporida; Plasmodiidae.
CCAAAAUGGUUUUACAUAUUUUAUAAUUGUCGUCUGAUUGAAAACAAGAAU